This is a long non-coding RNA of Pseudophryne corroboree (corroboree frog), 217 nucleotides long. RefSeq lists it as uncharacterized. The record is from RefSeq and is a predicted model, not a curated record. The transcript is spliced from 2 exons. NCBI's taxonomy places the organism in Eukaryota, Metazoa, Chordata, Amphibia, Anura, Myobatrachidae.
CUACGCCUUGCAACCUUCCUACGUUAUAGCCUUUUAACUUCAUUAUGUGAUCAGGCAUGUUGCCAACUCUAAAGGCCAUUCCACGCAUCUGAGUGAUCUGGCAUAUCGUCCAGGUGAUUUAAGUGCCAAUCUUGAUAAAGGUCCACAUAAGGACCGAAACGUCGAUGAAAUACGGCAUCAACAGUGAACCCGAAUAAAAAAUAUACUGAAUUUACAA